This 468-nucleotide ribosomal RNA is filed under the name uncultured bacterium. RNAcentral describes it as "partial 16S ribosomal RNA". It matches the Rfam family "Bacterial small subunit ribosomal RNA", at positions 28 to 507 of the family's 1533-position model. The record is from RNAcentral.
GACGAACGCUGGCGGCGUGCUUAACACACGCAAGUCGAACGGAAAGGCCCUGCUUUUGUGGGGUGCUCGAGUGGCGAACGGGUGAGUAACACGUGAGUAACCUGCCCUUGACUUUGGGAUAACUUCAGGAAACUGGGGCUAAUACCGGAUAGGAGCUCCUGCUGCAUGGUGGGGGUUGGAAAGUUUCGGCGGUUGGGGAUGGACUCGCGGCUUAUCAGCUUGUUGGUGGGGUAGUGGCUUACCAAGGCUUUGACGGGUAGCCGGCCUGAGAGGGUGACCGGCCACAUUGGGACUGAGAUACGGCCCAGACUCCUACGGGAGGCAGCAGUGGGGAAUAUUGCACAAUGGGCGGAGGCCUGAUGCAGCAACGCCGCGUGCGGGAUGACGGCCUUCGGGUUGUAAACCGCUUUCGCCUGUGACGAAGCGUGAGUGACGGUAAUGGGUAAAGAAGCACCGGCUAACUACGUG